This 438-nucleotide ribosomal RNA is filed under the name uncultured bacterium. Its description in RNAcentral is "bacterial SSU rRNA". It matches the Rfam family "Bacterial small subunit ribosomal RNA", at positions 32 to 450 of the family's 1533-position model. The record is from RNAcentral.
AAUCAACGCUGGCGGCGUGCCUAACACAUGCAAGUCGAACGCGAAAGUGGAGCAAUCCAUGAGUAGAGUGGCAAACGGGUGAGUAACACGUGGGUGACCUGCCUUCGAGUGGGGGGAUAACGUUUCGAAAGGAACGCUAAUACCGCAUAACAUGCUGUCUUUUAACAGAUGGACAUCAAAGCCGGGGACCGCAAGGCCUGGCGCUUGAAGAGGGGCCCGCGCCUGAUUAGCUAGUUGGUGGGGUAAUGGCUCACCAAGGCAACGAUCAGUAUCCGGCCUGAGAGGGCGGACGGACACACUGGGACUGAGACACGGCCCAGACUCCUACGGGAGGCAGCAGUGGGGAAUUGUUCGGCAAUGGGCGCAAGCCUGACGACGCAACGCCGCGUGGAGGAUGAAGGAUCUUCGGGUCGUAAACUCCUUUCGAUCGAGACGAAU